UCCAGCCUCGCAGCCACUGGCUUCUAGCUGCAGCAGAAACCUGCACUGCCCGCCCUGCAGUACGUCGACUGCGAUCUGCAACCCUCCUCUUGACAUCCGCUGCCAGUCAAGAUCUGUCUCCCCUGCCUAGUAGGCGAUGACGCCUAAUGCUGGCCGCAGUACGGCAGGCCUUGCUCUUGCGACUGUUCAACACCCUGCUACACCCAACGAUGUUGAGCUGCAGGAAUAAUACCUCUCUGCGUGCUCCGUGCUGCCUCGAGGACGGUGCACAACUACGGAGUGAUGAUGCGAACACCGACCUCGACAUCCUUGCAAAACAGCUUCCCGCCCUGUAUACUAUACUAUAGCUGCAUCAUGGCCGCUCAUUGAAGACUCAUAUUGAGAGCACGUGGCUGUUUGAUGACCUGAUCAAACAAUUAUAGAUAUCGCGCUGGCUCAUCUGUGGUACACUGCUCAGGGUCUAGCAUUCGGUUUGUCUGCGGGAUUCUUGCUCGUGCACGUUAACAUUCUGUGCUCUCGUAAUGGUACGCUGAUGCUGGUUUGCGUUGCGAAGUAGCACGCGCAUGUGUUCGUAUGAGCAUGCGAGUGUGUUGCUGCAUGUAUGUUCUCUAUUGUACGCGCGUGCUACUUCGCUUAUUUUAUCUGGUGGUUGUCAUUAUUUUAGCUCGGGUGUGUCCUCACUUCCAUGCAAUUUUUGGUGGCUUGUUUCGUUCAAUCGGUGAAUUCCUUCAUAAAGGUCAUUGAUGAUUUCGUAGUGAUGGUGGCCAAUCUUCUCGGAAACCCAUCCAACUUCGGCACUGGGCAUUCCCCUUACUUGAUGUCCAGUCGUCCACUCGUAGAUUUGUCCAUGGCCUUGUCAUAUUGUUUUCUACUCGACGGGGUCUGUUGGUACAUUUUCCUUAUCCACUUCUUUCUCAAUUGAUCAGUUCAUCAUGGCUAAUGCGAUACAUCAGCGUACCAUUACAAAAAGCGCAUGGUGUGAAUUAAAGGCAAUAGAGCAUCUACGUUCGAUUGUGAGGAUCACAAUUAUGUGAGCUUAUCCUUUAUCUGGUACUGGCAUGGUACCAAGCUCAUUUUUCAAACUUGUCCGCUUUCAUUAAUCACGUGAGCGGUAAAGCUGCGUACAACUCCACAGCAAAGCAAAGCAGCUCCUGAAUCUCCCUUCAGCAACAUUGAACAUUGAUCACAUACCACCACCACAGAUGCCUGCGGUGUUAAGACUUCAUCAAACUGCUUCAUCACCUUUUGUCCUUGAAUGUUCGCUGCCCUGUGUAAAUUUACCUACUUGCAUUGUUGUCCAUCACUAUAACAUGUAUUUGCUGAACCAUGUUCACUGCAACUCAAUAAAAUGGCAAAGGCUUUUUGUUUUUACAUAGCCCUAUUUUCCCCUGCGUAA
Molecule: long non-coding RNA, 1396 nt
Filed under: Dermacentor andersoni
Lineage: Eukaryota; Metazoa; Arthropoda; Arachnida; Ixodida; Ixodidae
Description: uncharacterized LOC126521270
Source: RNAcentral